This 332-nucleotide ribosomal RNA is filed under the name uncultured eukaryote. RNAcentral describes it as "partial 18S ribosomal RNA". It matches the Rfam family "Eukaryotic small subunit ribosomal RNA", at positions 1470 to 1796 of the family's 1831-position model. The record is from RNAcentral.
CCCUUAGAUGUUCUGGGCCGCACGCGCGCUACACUGUUCGACGCAGCGAGUCUUAACCUUGACCGAAAGGUUUGGGUAAUCUUCAGCAAAGUCGAACGUGAUGGGGAUCGAUCAUUGCAAUUAUUGAUCGUGAACGAGGAAUUCCUAGUAAGUGCAAGUCAUCAGCUUGCGCUGAUUGCGUCCCUGCCCUUUGUACACACCGCCCGUCGCUACUACCGAUUGAAUGGUUUAGUGAGAUCUCUGGAUUGACGCUGGCUAGGGGGCGACCCUUGGCCAGACUGCUCGAGAAACUGCUCAAACUUGAUCAUUUAGAGGAAGUAAAAGUCGUAACA